CCCCGCCCCCCGCGGCCAGCCGCGGCUGCCUGGAGCCCCCCGGCCAGCGGCCGGCCGCUGGGGCCGAGUAUUGUCUCAAAGGCCGAAAAGACAGGAAAGCGGGGACACUGGGGGACAGCCACGUGACCAGGAGAGGAUUUAUAAUAUUUUCCUUCGCUGUCGACAAUAUUGCAAAAUGUACGAAAGGGACCGCACGGCCGCGACCGGAGCGUGACGGCGCGGGCAAGACAGGUUCCCGGAGCGCCCGCGCUGUGCCCGCCGGAGCCCGGGUCUCUCCAGCUCGCCGGGGCGGAAUCCGAGGGCAGAGGCCGGCUUACCGACACGACACGCGCCGAGGGGACCCAAACCCGGUCCGGUCCGAGCCCGCAGCCCGGCUCCUUCUCUCCUUCCACUUCCGCCUCACGUUUCCCCCCUACCGGAAAUCUGAUGGGCUUAUGACA
This 440-nucleotide long non-coding RNA is filed under the name Canis lupus dingo (dingo). Its description in RNAcentral is "lncRNA (ENSCAFG00020000286.1)". The record is from RNAcentral. Lineage: Eukaryota; Metazoa; Chordata; Mammalia; Carnivora; Canidae.